UGCCCGUGACGUCGCGAGAAGUCCACUGAACCUUAUCAUUUAGAGGAAGGAGAAGUCGUAACAAGGUUUCCGUAGGUGAACCUGCGGAAGGAUCAUUGUCGAGACCUGCCCAGCAGAAGGACCGGCGAAC
Molecule: ribosomal RNA, 130 nt
Filed under: Ficus macrophylla subsp. columnaris
Lineage: Eukaryota; Viridiplantae; Streptophyta; Magnoliopsida; Rosales; Moraceae
Description: partial 18S ribosomal RNA
Rfam family: Eukaryotic small subunit ribosomal RNA (bases 1-98)
Source: RNAcentral